Molecule: ribosomal RNA, 289 nt
Filed under: uncultured bacterium
Lineage: Bacteria
Description: partial 16S ribosomal RNA
Rfam family: Bacterial small subunit ribosomal RNA
Source: RNAcentral
CCUACGGGGGGCAUCAGUAGGGAAUUUUCUUCAAUUUUCUCCCUCCUGAACGAGCGAUGCCGCGUGAGUGAAGAAGGCCUUCGGGUCGUAAAGCUCUGUUGCGGGGGAAAAAAGGCAGCAUCAGGAAAUGGGUGCUGACUGAUGGUGCCCCGCCAGAAAGUCACGGCUAACUACGUGCCAGCAGCCGCGGUAAUACGUAGGUGGCGAGCGUUAUCCGGAAUGAUUGGGCGUAAAGGGUGCGCAGGCGGUCCUGCAAGUCUGGAGUGAAACGCAUGAGCUCAACUCAUGC